This 2055-nucleotide ribosomal RNA is filed under the name Triticum aestivum (bread wheat). RNAcentral describes it as "partial small subunit ribosomal RNA". The record is from RNAcentral. Lineage: Eukaryota; Viridiplantae; Streptophyta; Magnoliopsida; Poales; Poaceae.
AUGUUCGAGUAUCUAAAUGUUGUCAGCAAGAUGUUUGAUAGUGAGGCUGAAGGCUAUGAAUUCUACAACAAAUAUGCUCUUGAAAAAGGUUUUAGUGUGAGGAAAAGCUACGUUGAGUGGGAUGGAUCCAACAAAUACAUAAUUUUAAGGAAAAUUGUGUGUAGUCGUCAAGGGUUUAGCGAAGAGAAGCACAUGAAAAGAAAGAUGGAAGAUAGAAAGAGGAGGCCACGAAGUUUAACUCGUGUUGGGUGUAAUGCUAAAUUGGUCAUUAUGAGACAGGAGGAAACCGGUCGGUGGUUUGUCAAGGAUUUCAUCGAUGAGCACAGCCAUCCUCUAGCCCCACGGGAUCUUUCUUGUCUGCUGCGUUCGCACAGACGAAUUAGCGAUGAGCAGAAAGCGGACAUUGCGGACAUGGAAAAAUGUGGGAUCCGCAAAUACCGUAUUAUGGAUAUUUUGUGCUUUCAAUACGGUGGAUUUGAUAAGGUUGGAUGCAUAAAGAGGGACAUUUAUAAUUUCUGCCAUGCUAAUAAGCAGGAGACAAUCAGUGCCGGUGAUGCUAAUACGGUGAUCAUGCACAUGAUGGUGAGGCGAGAGCGAGAUGUGGAUUUUUUCUUCAAGUACUUGGUAGACGAGCAUGGCCAUCUGAAGGGACUGUUCUGGGCAGAUAGUCAAUCGCGACUUGACUACGAGGCUUUCGGAGACGUCAUUGUUUUCGAUAGCACAUACAGAACCAACAAAUACAAUCUGCCAUUCGUGCCGUUUGUCGGGUUGAAUCACCACCGGAGCACUGUCAUUUUUGGCUGUGGUAUAAUUUCUCAUGAAACAAGCCAGGCAUACGAGUGGAUGUUGCGGACCUUUUCUGAUUGCAUGGCACAGAAGCAUCCGAUAUCUGUGAUCACAGAUGGGGACCUUGCAAUGCAGAGAGCAAUCAGGUUGGUCUGGCCAGACUCAAACCAUAGACUAUGUAUAUGGCACAUUCAGCAGAACAUUGUACGCCAUCUGCAUGAUGACGACGUAAAGGAGGAAUUCAGAUCUUUCAUUUAUGAUACUUCUUCCAUUGAAGAGCAUGAGAUAGAAUGGAUAUACUUCUUACAACGGAAUAAAGUAACCAGUGAGGAGUCUUGGCUGCAUCAGAUGUAUCAAAUGAGAAAGUUGUGGUGUGCUCCAUAUCUUGAGGGGCGUUGUUUCCUAGGAUUGAGCAGCAAUCAGAGGAGUGAGAGCUUGAACUUUGUCCUACAUACGCAUCUUGAGGGUAAGAUGUCGUUGUUUGAAAUGCUAGAGCACUAUGAGCGUUGCCUUGCGUCGCGACGGAUUAACGAAGCUCUCCAUGACGUCGAAGCCUUGCAGUCCGUUCCAUUUACAGAGGAAAAUGCUUCGCCGCUUGAGAAACACGCCGCAACAGUUUUCACACCUAGUGUCUUUAAGAUGGUCUUAUGGAGCAUAGAUGCUGUCAGCAAAUGUCAGAUCAGAGAGAUACUAGAUGGAUCGGAAGAUUCCACUUAUGUUGUGUCCAAGCAGGAAAGAAUGGAUAAAAAGUUUGGAGUGCGCAUUGAAGAGCAAGGAGGUCUUUUGCACAGGGUGAGUUGUUCUUGCCGUAAGCUGGAAUGCGCAGGCACACCAUGUUCCCACAUUUUUUACAUAUUGGGGAUUUUAAAACAAACAAUUCUGCCCAGUUGUUGCGUUCCCACUAGGCGGACUAUGAAUGCAAAAUGUGCAUACGCGCCUACCAGAAAAAACCAGAUGUCUGACUAUUCGGUAAGCCUGCAGAGGUACCGCGAGUUGCGGAAUUGUAGUCACGCCGCAAGUUUCAAGGCAUGCCACUCUGAUGAGGACUAUCACCGUCUAAUUAUGCUUUUGCAAGCACAACAUCAUGGCAAGCAAUCAAGUUUUGAACAAGCUGACAGCAAGGAGUCAACUAAUGCUCAGCAUAACAACAUUAGGUUUGGCCCGUUGAUGCCGCACUCGGAGAAAGUUGAUAAGGUUCUGGAUCCCGUGCAUGUGCCAGGCCGAGGUGCACCGAAGAAAAGGCUGCAGGCAAAGACAAAGAAGUCUUAA